Molecule: ribosomal RNA, 500 nt
Filed under: Vibrio coralliilyticus
Lineage: Bacteria; Pseudomonadati; Pseudomonadota; Gammaproteobacteria; Vibrionales; Vibrionaceae
Description: bacterial SSU rRNA
Rfam family: Bacterial small subunit ribosomal RNA
Source: RNAcentral
ACGGGUGAGUAAUGCCUGGGAAAUUGCCCUGAUGUGGGGGAUAACCAUUGGAAACGAUGGCUAAUACCGCAUAAUGCCUUCGGGCCAAAGAGGGGGACCUUCGGGCCUCUCGCGUCAGGAUAUGCCCAGGUGGGAUUAGCUAGUUGGUGAGGUAAUGGCUCACCAAGGCGACGAUCCCUAGCUGGUCUGAGAGGAUGAUCAGCCACACUGGAACUGAGACACGGUCCAGACUCCUACGGGAGGCAGCAGUGGGGAAUAUUGCACAAUGGGCGCAAGCCUGAUGCAGCCAUGCCGCGUGUAUGAAGAAGGCCUUCGGGUUGUAAAGUACUUUCAGUCGUGAGGAAGGUUCAUGCGUUAAUAGCGUAUGGAUUUGACGUUAGCGACAGAAGAAGCACCGGCUAACUCCGUGCCAGCAGCCGCGGUAAUACGGAGGGUGCGAGCGUUAAUCGGAAUUACUGGGCGUAAAGCGCAUGCAGGUGGUUCGUUAAGUCAGAUGUGAA